UAAUAAGUGUUUUAUGGCACUUUUUAAAUCCAUAUCCACCUUGUGUGCAAUGUCAGUCGGUUUUCUUUUUCGUCAAGAAAAAAAGGAUCGACCAAACAUCAACUAUUCUAAUUGAACUUUUGUCUGAAAACUAUUAUGAAUAAACUAAUUCAAAAUA
This 157-nucleotide unclassified non-coding RNA is filed under the name soil metagenome. Its description in RNAcentral is "partial internal transcribed spacer 1". The record is from RNAcentral.